UAAUAAUUUAUAAUAAAAGUAUCCAGAUGUUGAUUUUAACAAAGUCCAUUCGAAAUAGGACAAUAUUAAAGAAAAAAAGGAGAAAUCAUGUGCGGUAACAAAUGUGCGUUGGAUGCGAUUUCAAAUUCGUAAUGAAAAAUUUCUCCUAGGGACAUUUUGUUGAGAUGCAUCCUAGUCGGCUUUGUGCGUCCUCCAUCCCCCACCAUCGUCGCUUUGAGACAUGCAACGGCUCCUAAUUAGGCCAAGCAACACGGCUUCGAGUUUACGAGCCUGUUCUCCCCACUCUCCACCCCCGCUGCGCGCGCAUAACCUUAUCCCAAUGCGGCGGGAUAUUACGUAUACUUUCUUAGAGAGUCGUUUCGUGACCACAUUCGGCGCGAAUGAAAGGCUAUAGGAUAGAGUCAAAGGGACUAGAGAUAUUUUUCAAUUAGAGAUCUGUUAGACCACAAAAGAGAUAGAAGAAAAAUGCCAGAGGGGAGAAAAGACGCCCGUAAAGAAGAGGUGGUGGCAACGUACAGGAAAACGGAAUGAGAUCAGGAAAAUUCCUCUCACUCGUGUUUCCUCUCUCUGUGGAUUUAUCUUUACUUUAAAGGAAAUAUACUUUUAUGCAAUUUUCUUUGGUUAUUUUGGAUUCUCAAUGUUCUAAUAUCGAGGUAUAUGAUAUAAUUUUUAUUUAAUAAUCAUCAUAAAAAUUGAGACUAAAAUUAUAAGUUAACUCGAGAUGAUAUCUAUUUAUUAUAUGUAUGAUUUUUAUUCUCAUAAUAUAUAAUAUGCGAUUUUAUUCUGACUAUUGUAAAUAUCUAAAUAUUGUAUUUCUUACAUUAAGAAAUUCUCUCUCUCUUUCUAUUAAUUAUAAUCAUACGAAUGUUCAGAAUACUUGUUAUUUUAUUUUAUUGAGAAUAAAUAUGUACUUUAAUAUAUA
Apis cerana (Asiatic honeybee) is the source of this 922-nucleotide long non-coding RNA. RefSeq lists it as uncharacterized. The record is from RefSeq and is a predicted model, not a curated record. Lineage: Eukaryota; Metazoa; Arthropoda; Insecta; Hymenoptera; Apidae.